RNAcentral lists this ribosomal RNA (253 nucleotides) under uncultured bacterium. Its description in RNAcentral is "partial 16S ribosomal RNA". It matches the Rfam family "Bacterial small subunit ribosomal RNA", at positions 524 to 776 of the family's 1533-position model. The record is from RNAcentral.
GACGAACCGUCCGAACGUUAUUCGGAAUCACUGGGCUUAAAGGGUGCGUAGGCGGGCAGGUAAGUCCGUGGUGAAAUCUCCAAGCUUAACUUGGAAACUGCCGUGGAUACUAUUUGUCUUGAAUAUAGUGGAGGUGAGCGGAAUAUGUCAUGUAGCGGUGAAAUGCUUAGAUAUGACAUAGAACGCCCAUUGCGAAGGCAGCUCGCUACACUAUUAUUGACGCUGAGGCACGAAAGCGUGGGGAUCAAACAGG